AACCUCACCCCCUCUGGGUUUUUAACCUGGUCUGUGGUGGAUUGGGCGCCUGCCGUCACUGGCUCGCCUGAAAAGCAUAAGCACCUUGGAUGUAAUACGUUUCAUCCUUUCGGGUGGCUGACAACCCCACAUACUUCAUG
RNAcentral lists this unclassified non-coding RNA (140 nucleotides) under uncultured Cryptococcus. Its description in RNAcentral is "sequence contains ITS2". The record is from RNAcentral. Lineage: Eukaryota; Fungi; Basidiomycota; Tremellomycetes.